GCCCUUGUAGUGUAGUCCGGCCAAUCAUUUGGCCUUCUCGAGGCUAAGACCUGGGUUCGAAUCCCGGCAAGGGCA
This 75-nucleotide transfer RNA is filed under the name Candidatus Woesearchaeota archaeon. RNAcentral's name for it is "tRNA-Glu". It matches the Rfam family "tRNA". Rfam says of the family: Transfer RNA (tRNA) molecules are approximately 80 nucleotides in length. Their secondary structure includes four short double-helical elements and three loops (D, anti-codon, and T loops). The record is from RNAcentral. Lineage: Archaea; Nanobdellati; Candidatus Woesearchaeota.